Molecule: ribosomal RNA, 2046 nt
Filed under: human gut metagenome
Description: bacterial LSU rRNA
Rfam family: Bacterial large subunit ribosomal RNA
Source: RNAcentral
GCAAGAUACCGAGGGCGCACGGCGGAUGCCUUGGCAUCGGAAGUCGACGAAGGGCGCGGCAAGCUGCGAUAAGCCCCGGGGAGGCGCAAACGGCCUUCGAUCCGGGGAUUCCCGAAUGGGGGAACCCGCCAGGGGCCAUGCCCUGGCACCCCCGCCCGAAUACAUAGGGCGGAGGGAGGCAACCGGGGGAACUGAAACAUCUAAGUACCCCGAGGAGGAGAAAUCAAACGAGAUUGCGCGAGUAGCGGCGAGCGAAAGCGCACCCAGCCCAAACCCCCGUACGCGUUACAGCCCGGAGGCGCUGCGACGCCGGGGUCGUGGGCCCGCACCGCCCGGGGCUUCGGAGCCCGGGGCGCGGUGACAAAGGGGAGAGGGAGCGGAACGGCCCGGACAGGCCGGCGAGACAGGGUGAAGGCCCCGUACGCGAACCCCCUCCCCCCGCGCGAUGCGGGGCCCGAGUAGCGCCGGACACGUGAAAUCCGGCGCGAAGCAGGGGGGACCACCCUCCAAGGCUGAAUACUCUCCGAUGACCGAUAGCGAACCAGUACCGUGAGGGAAAGGUGAAAAGCACCCCGAGAGGGGAGUGAAACAGUACCUGAAACCGUGCGCCCACAAGCAGUCGGAGCGGACAAUGCGUUCCGUGACGGCGUGCCUUUUGUAGAAUGAGCCUGCGAGUCGCGGCGCGCGGCGAGGUUAAGGACUACCGAGCCGCAGCGAAAGCGAGUCUGAACAGGGCGUUCAGUCGCGCGCCGCGGACGCGAAGCCGGGUGAGCUAUCCAUGGGCAGGCUGAAGCGGGGGUAAGACCCCGUGGAGGGCCGAACCCACUUCGGUUGAAAACGGAGGGGAUGACCCGUGGAUAGGGGUGAAAGGCCAAUCAAACCCGGAGAUAUCUCGUUCUCCCCGAAAUAGCUUUAGGGCUAGCCUCGGGCGUUAAAUGGCGGAGGUAGAGCACUGGACCGGCGAGGGGGCCUCACCGCCUACCGACCCAGACCAAACUCCGAAUGCCGCCAUUCGAAAGCCCGGGAGUCAGAGCAUGUGGGCUAAGCUGUGUGCUCGAGAGGGAAACAGCCCAGACCGCCCGCUAAGGCCCCCAAGUCCGUGCUGAGUGGCAAAGGAUGUGCGUUUGCCUAGACAACCAGGAUGUUGGCUUAGAAGCAGCCAUGCAUUUAAAGAGUGCGUAACAGCUCACUGGUCAAGUGGACAUGCGCCGACAAUUCACGGGGCUAAGCACGGCGCCGAAGCGGCGGACCGUAUAUAUACGAUGGUAGGGGAGCUUUCCGCGCAGGGCGGAAGCCGGAGGGGCGACCCCCGGUGGACCGCGCGGAAGUGAGGAUGCAGGCAUGAGUAGCGAGAGCAGGGCGAGAAACCCUGCCGCCGCAAGCCUAAGGUUUCCUGGGCGAGGCUAAUCCCCCCAGGGUCAGUCGGGAGCUAAGGCGAGGCCGGGAGGCGUAGCCGAUGCGCAACGGGCGGACAUUCCCGUACCGCCGGGGCGGCGCUUACGACCGAUGGGGCGACGGAGAAGGGUAGCCGGGCGGGGUUCUGGACGUCCCCGUGAAAGCGCGUAGGGCGCGAGGCAGGCAAAUCCGCCUCGCAUGCGGCCCGAGACGCGAGACGAAGCUUCGAGCGAAGCCGGCGAUCCCACGCUUCCGAGAAAAACCCCUAGGCAGGCGCCCCGGCGCCCGUACCAAAACCGACACAGGUGGGCGGGUAGAACAUACCGAGGCGAUCGGGUGAACCAUGGUCAAGGAACUCGGCAUAAUGGCCCCGUAACUUAGGGAGAAGGGGCGCCCCCUGCGGUGAAGGAGCGAGCCUCCGGAGCGGCGGGGGGCCGCAGCGAAACGGCCCAAGCGACUGUUUAUCAAAAACACAGGACUCUGCCAAGCCGCAAGGCGACGUAUAGGGUCUGACGCCUGCCCGGUGCCGGAAGGUCACGGGGAACCGUCAGCCGAAAGGCGAAGCGGCGAACCUAAGCCCCGGUAAACGGCGGCCGUAACUAUAACGGUCCUAAGGUAGCGAAAUUCCUUGUCGGGUAAGUUCCGACCUGC